Long non-coding RNA from Cydia splendana, 168 nucleotides. RefSeq lists it as uncharacterized. NCBI's taxonomy places the organism in Eukaryota, Metazoa, Arthropoda, Insecta, Lepidoptera, Tortricidae. The transcript has 2 exons. The record is from RefSeq and is a predicted model, not a curated record.
UCUGUAUCAUCAUACAAAUAAAUGCCCUUACCAGGAUUCGAACCCGGGACCAUCGGCUUCAUAGGCAGGGUCACUACCCACUAGGCCAGACCGGUCGUCAAAAAGAAAUGACAGAGUUGCCAGGAUUGUAACAUCAGAAGAGAUUGUAACUCCUACCUACAUUACCUA